RNAcentral lists this ribosomal RNA (426 nucleotides) under uncultured beta proteobacterium. Its description in RNAcentral is "bacterial SSU rRNA". It matches the Rfam family "Bacterial small subunit ribosomal RNA", at positions 356 to 774 of the family's 1533-position model. Lineage: Bacteria; Pseudomonadati; Pseudomonadota; Betaproteobacteria. The record is from RNAcentral.
GGGGAAUUUUGGACAAUGGGCGCAAGCCUGAUCCAGCAAUGCCGCGUGCAGGAUGAAGGCCUUCGGGUUGUAAACUGCUUUUGUACGGAACGAAAAGCCUCUCUCUAAUACAGGGGGGUGAUGACGGUACCGUAAGAAUAAGCACCGGCUAACUACGUGCCAGCAGCCGCGGUAAUACGUAGGGUGCAAGCGUUAAUCGGAAUUACUGGGCGUAAAGCGCGCGUAGGUGGUUUGGUAAGAUGGAUGUGAAAUCCCCGGGCUCAACCUGGGAACUGCAUCCAUAACUGCCUGACUAGAGUACGGUAGAGGGUGGUGGAAUUCCACGUGUAGCAGUGAAAUGCGUAGAGAUGUGGAGGAACACCAAUGGCGAAGGCAGCCCCCUGGGUCGAUACUGACGCUCAUGCACGAAAGCGUGGGGAGCAAACA